RNAcentral lists this transfer RNA (72 nucleotides) under Pseudomonadota bacterium. RNAcentral's name for it is "tRNA-Thr". It matches the Rfam family "tRNA". From Rfam's summary of the family: Transfer RNA (tRNA) molecules are approximately 80 nucleotides in length. Their secondary structure includes four short double-helical elements and three loops (D, anti-codon, and T loops). Further hydrogen bonds mediate the characteristic L-shaped molecular structure. tRNAs have two regions of fundamental functional importance: the anti-codon, which is responsible for specific mRNA codon recognition, and the 3' end, to which the tRNAs corresponding amino acid is attached (by aminoacyl-tRNA synthetases). tRNAs cope with the degeneracy of the genetic code in two manners: having more than one tRNA (with a specific anti-codon) for a particular amino acid; and 'wobble' base-pairing, i.e. permitting non-standard base-pairing at the 3rd anti-codon position. RNAcentral also lists the same sequence under 1 other name. Lineage: Bacteria; Pseudomonadati; Pseudomonadota. The record is from RNAcentral.
GCCACCGUAGCUCAGGGGUAGAGCACUCGAUUCGUAAUCGAGUGGUCGUCGGUUCGAAUCCGACCGGUGGCU